RNAcentral lists this long non-coding RNA (41622 nucleotides) under Durio zibethinus. RNAcentral describes it as "long non-coding RNA (DZIB_LNC001335)". Lineage: Eukaryota; Viridiplantae; Streptophyta; Magnoliopsida; Malvales; Malvaceae. The record is from RNAcentral.
AACCUGAAAGCUGGUUAUAAUCCAAAAUCAAUUUCCUCAAGGAGGAAAGAUUUCCAAUCAUGACAGGAAUCUGCCCUUGUAGUUUAUUGUUAUCCAACCUCAAGAUUUCUAGCUUUGGAAAAUAGCAUAAAGAUGAUGGGAUUUCGCCUGUGAAGUUGUUACCAUAUAGAAACAAGCUUUGAAGUUGAGUAAGGGAAUCAAACCAUGAUGGGAUUUCCCCACUGAUGUUGUUGUUGCCAAAGUUUAUGUACUUCAACCGACGCAAAUUAGCCAAUUGGAUGGGUAAUGAGCCAUGAAAACUAUUGUUCUCAAUGCUGAGCAAGGAAAGGAAAGAUAGAUUUCCCAAGUGAGGUGGGAUGGUACCUACCAGACCCAUGCCUGAAAGAUUCAGAGCUGUGACCCUAAGGUGCCGGGAUCCGCAAGUUACACCAAUCCAGUUGCAAACUGAGGUAGCAGUAGACCAAUUGGUUUUUAACUGGCUUUGAAGGCCAAAAGUUACAUGGGAUUUCAAUGCAAAAAGAGAAGAUUGGUCUGUGGUGAUGUUGGGUGAUUCCACAGACAAAGAAUAAGUAACAAAAUUAUGAAACAGAAGCACAAUUACAAGAGGGAAGAAGAAGCGAGUAUUCCUCAUGAUAUUACGUGGGUUGAUGAAGAAUUGGAAAUAAUGGAAACUAUUGGGGCAAUUGAACUUGGUCAUGAAUUCAUUAAAUACUGGCAAAUUCGACCGAGAAGACCUCGUCUGGAUGUGUCAAUUGCGUCUUAGUCCAAAUAUUAUGACUUCCAUUUUUCUCCAACUUCGAGUAAUUGCCCUCUUUUUUUUUUUUUUGGUUAUAUAUAUAUAUAUAUAUAUAUAUAUAUAAUAGCUUAGCUUUAAGAGAAUUCAACGUUUCAUGCAUCCACCACGAAUCUACAACUACAACUUGCUUGUGAAAGAUAUGGAUCUAGUUGAAAGACAAUGUAAACUAUAGCAUUUCAACUUCCAUGCACGUUUCUUUUCUUAUUUUUAUUUUUUUUUUAGAAAAAAAAAAUUGUAAUUUGAACCCAAACUUAUUUUAUGUCACCUAUCACUGAUUGAAUGAAUCAACUUAAUUAAAUUUUAAAUUUUUCUCAAAUUUUCUCUUCUUUUGGUUUGGUAGACUUGUGACUUUUUCUAAAUAAGAAAAGCAAAAUCUAAAACUUGCACGGUUGCAUUGAGGUACGGCAGCAACCUUGAAAUUUCGUCGAAUUAAUGACAAGUCCGUGAGAGGAGAAAAAAUGAAGAUGGAACAUUAUUAUUGUUAACCGUCUCCUUUACUUCAUAUUCACACCAUCAGCGUCUUAUACACGACUUGCCCCUAGCUAGCGGCUUCUAAUUUGCUAUGUCACCAAUUAGUCAAUACAAUCUAACCUGCCACAAUCUGUUUGGUCCAGUAAUGGACCACGUCAUCCAUGUCAAUUCCACAUAUAUCAUUGAUGUUCAUUAUUGCCGUGUGUAAGUAUUCAUUUGUCCAUCUCGAUGCCACGUUAAUGCCUUAUUGCUAUAUGACAGCCUCUCAUUAUUGACGACCAAUGGGCUACCUCGUCGUCUUCAUGAUGGGCAUAGCCUUGAAUGCAAUCUGGCCACCAGAUUCGAACCAGAAUGGAGUAAAGAACCAAGGUAUAUUUUAAUAUUUUCGGGGUUUAUUUUAAACAAGAAAAGCAUCAACAAUUGCUUCUUCAUUAAGCCUAUGCAAUGUGCUUUAAAACUUGACUUUGAUCUUCUUUAGCUUCAUACCAAUUUCUCUCAUAGCAAGUCUCUCAUUUUUUUUUUAUGCUGUAAAGACGUGAAAGUGACAUCAUUUCUUACAUAAAGAGUUUACAUAAAUUUCAUUUCAUGAAAUUUUUUGUUAAAAAUAAAUAAAUUAAAAUUAAAAAAUUAAAAAAUCUCAUCGUAUAAAUGAAAUAUGUAAAAUUUAAAUAUAUUUAAAUAUAUUUUUUAAAUAAAUAUUUUUAGUAAAAAUAUUUAUAGAGUUAUCGUUAAAUAAAUACAGAGUAAAUAUAAAUAAUAAAUAAUUUUUUAAUAAUUUUGUAUAUAUUAUUAAUUUUUGCAUUAAAUUUUAUUAAUUUAUUGAUUUAAAUUUUUUAUUAAAUGUUUAUUUAUUUACUUUUAAUAAAAAAAUUUUACAAACUUUACCUAUAAAUGUAAAUUUUGUUAUAUUUAGACAGCAGCCCUUCUCUAGUAUAAACCAUCUAACAUGUGACAAAUAAGGCCCAUAGCCUAAUAUUUUGACUUUUCAAUUUCUUUCUAUGGUCAAGUGACUUUUUUCUAGAUUAACAAACGACGCAGGGAGAGAGUGGUGAAAAAAAAUGGUAAAAAGAAGGUCACACAAUAAUUUUUUUUAAAAAUUAAAAUAAUAAUUAAGUGAGAUUAUUAUUAUUAUAUAAAAAGGAGAUAAAAAUUUUUGGGAGAUCGUGACCUUGCUUCCUUCUAACUCAACCUUGAUUGGAGACAAAAUAAUAUAUAUAUAGCAAGUGCAAAAUUUUAAGUAUGGCUUUAAGUAGGAUUUUUUGAAGAACAAAUAUACAUUAAUGCUUAUUAAAAUUAAAAUUUAACUUAAUUAAUUUUUAUAAUCAUUCUAAAGAUAGAACCCCUUUUAUUUAGCACAAUCACUUUGCAAAUAUGAAUUAACCUACUACUUGUCUAGAUGAGUCUAAAUAUUUAUUAUUAAGAGUAUUUUUAAGUUUAAAAGAUAAAAUGAUAUUUUUCUUACUUAAAAUUAUUAGUAGAUAAUUAGAGCAUUUUUUACUAUUAGAUCGAUCUGAUAUAUCAAAUCAAUUUAAGCCUACAAUGCCACGUUAGCUUGACCACCUUAUUAGUGUAUCUAACGGAUCUCUCUAAAUGUUAAUUUAUCAAUCCCUAAGUGAAUGAUCAACUUUUAAGUGAAUUAUGUCUCCCAAGUCAUCCCUGACCCUAGGGCUAAUCUCGAGUAGCCCAAACUACCCAAAACCUUUUACUUUUCAGGUGUAAAUAGGAUUAUUCAGGUAUCAUUUAUUUAUCUUCACUAUCUUGCUUUUUUUUUACUUUUUCAUAUUCCUCUUCCUACUUACCUUCUUGAGCAAUAUUUGGUUUGAGCAUCGGAGCACAAAUAUUGAAACCUUAUUCAACAUUUGUCUUAAUCGCUUUCUUUCUUUUUUUUCUUUGAUUUUAAGGUUUUAUACCUAGCAGUUCAGCUUAGCACAAAUACUUAUAAUGAUUCUACAAAUAAUAACAAACCCUGAAAUUUCUUAGAAGCAAUAAAAGUUCUUACAAUUUCCUUUCAUUCUAUGGAAAAGAAAAUGAGGUUUAGGAAGAUGACCUUUUUUUUUCAGUCUUUUCACAACAAAUUUUGGCAUAAUUAUUUCAUAUAUAUAAACCUUAGCUAUUGUUCCUAAAAGUUUAAAAGAAAAACAUUCUUAUAUGAUCUUUUAUAUAAUUCUUUUUUUUUUUGGAUGGUUAAUGUUUGUUACCUAUAAGUUGCUCUUUUUUUUAACUAAUUUUUUACAUUUAAUAAUAGUUUUUAAAAUUUUAAAUUUUUUAAAGGUGGGUCCACUUUAUACAAUUUUCUUACAUUUUUUCUUUUUAUUUUCUUUUAUAUUUUUAGAUUUUUUAAAAAUAUUUUUAAAAUUUUAAAUUUCUUUUUAUAUGAAACUCACUUGAUACUAAAGGGAUAUCAAGUAUUUGUGUUUUCUUUUUUUUUUUUUUACUUUUCCAUUUAUCUAUUAAUUUUCUUAUUUUAAAAAUUUAAUAAAUAUUUUCAAGAUUUUAAUUUUUUUUUGUGUGAUCGACUUAAUUCCAAAGAGUUAUCACGUAUCGAGUCAUUUAUUUCCUUUUUAUUUUUUUCUAUUUACUUUUUAUUUCUUUUUUCUUUUUUUACUAUUUAAUAUUUUUUUAUAUUUUAAAUUUUUUUAAAAUGGGGCUCAUUUGAUAUUAUUAAUUAAAUUUUUUUAUUUGAUAAAUUUUUUAAAAAGAUAUUACAAAGAACUCGUCUUCACUUUAGAAUUUACUUUUUGUAUCUUUUUCGAUCUUUUUUUAAAUUCAUGAUAUAAAUAUAUAUUUUAAUAUUCAUUUAAUUUUAUAUUUAUAUAUUAUAUUAAUAAAAUUAUUAUUUAAUUACUUAAUUUAAUAAAUCUCCUCGCCAUUCCAUUUGGCUUCAUUUUUUUUUCCAUCAUUCUUUCAUUUAUACUUUAAAUCUUGUAUAUAUGAAGGUUUUAUGAGGUGAACGUGACACUCCAACGCAUUUCUUUUUUUUCUUUCUUUUUUUUUUGUUUAUUUUUUUCCUUUUUAAUAUCUAAUCAAUAUUUUAUAUUUUUAAAAUUUGUACGUGAGAGAUCCAUUUAAUAUUAUUGAUUAAAAAUGUAUUUUUUUUCUUUUUAUGUGUAAGAUUUAUAUUCUAUGGGUUUUGAUUUAUCUAGAGCUAAUAGGUUUUUUUUAAUUUGAGAUCGAAUUGAGUUUUUUUUUUAAAUAAGAUUUAUGCGAGUGUAGGGUUUAGGAUAGAAUUUAAUAAACAUACUUUAUUGAUACAUAAUUAAAAUGUAACACAUCCAUCCAUUAUAUGAAAUUUACCCAUUUUGAUUUUUAUUUUAUCCACAUUUAAACUUUUUUUUUUUAGUUUAGAUAAAUUUUGUGAAAAAAUUCAAUAAAGUUUUUUAGGUGACAUCCUAAUUGAGUUUUUCUUUUACUUUUUUUAAUUAGAUAAAUAUUAUAAGAAAAUAAGUCAAUAAAUAAGUAUCACAAAACAAUUUAUAUCCAAUGGAUUUCGAUCUAACCUAGUAGGUUGAUUUUUUCUUUUUCUUUUUUUUUACUUUUUACUUUUUUGCUUCUUUCAUUUAUUUUUUAAUUAUAUAAAUUUUGUAAUAAAUAAUGUCAACGAAGGUGUUGGCAUAGCACUCCCUUUUGUUUUUUUUUUUAUAAUUUUUAUUUUUAUUAAAGAAAUUUUACAACAAAUGAGCCAAUUGAUAAGGAUAGCAAAACAAUCAAUAUCCUAUAUAUUUUAAUCGUUCUUGAUUUAAUAUGGAUAUUUUUGUAAAAAUUUGUAUCGAUCAAGUCAGACCAAUUUUUUAUUUAGGAAAGUAGGGAUGGGUCACAAGUAGAUUUAGGACAUUCUGCCUCAAACCAUCUCAUAAUAUAAAAGUAUAUAUUUUAUUAUAUAUUUAAUUUUAUACUUAUAUAUAUUUUGUUAGAAAAAAUUAUAAGGCUAAGAACACCAAACAAUACAAAUUUGAUGUAUUAUAUUAAUAAAAUUAUUAUUUUGUAUUUUAAUUUUAGAUAUUAACGUUUUAAACUCAAUUAGAAUGGUUCCACUUAUCUCUCUUUUCUUUUCUUUUUCUUUUUAAUUAAUAAAGUUAUUAUUUAAUAUCUUAAUUUAAAAUAUUAACAUUGAAAACUCAAUUAAAAUAUUCAUGUGAUACCCUAAUGAGUUUUUUUUUCCAUUUUUUUAUGUUUUCUUUAAUUAAAUUAAUUUUAUGACAAAUGAGGUAAAUGAAAGUGUCAACGGGAUACCUCCAUUUUUUUUUAAUUUUUUAAUUAGAUAAAUUUUAUAAUAAAAAAUAAUAAUUAAUAAAAAUGUCAAAAUAAUUUAUAUUUGAUAGAUUUUAAUUCAUCCCAAUUCAAUAAGAUAGAGAUUGAUUUGAGAUGGGUCAAAUUUUUUUAUAGAAACAAGAUUGGAGUGAAAACGCAUUUAAGGUGCUCUCUACUAACCUAUUUAGGAAUAUAUAUAAAAAUAUACAUUUAUUGUUAACUUGAUUUUAUAUAUAUUAUAUUAAUAAAAUUAUUAUUUAAUAUUUUAAUUUAAAAAAUUAAAAUUUUAAGCUCAAUAAAAUGUCCAUGUAACAAUCUUUAUGAGUUUUUUUUUUUAAUUUUUUUCUUCUCUUAUUUUUUUCGUUUUUGUCUUUUUAAUUUUUAAUUUUUACUUUUUUUAAUUAAAUAAAUUUUAUAAAAAAAGGACAAUUAAAAUAUUCAUAUACCACCUUUAUUUAGUUUUUUGUUACCUUUUGCUUUUUUUAAUUAAGUAAAUUUUAUAAUAAAAAUAAAUAAAGAUAAUAAAAUAAAAAAAAUUGACCCGAAAUAUCGUACUGUUAUCAUUCUAGUAUUAAUAAAAUUUAUAAUUUCAUUUGACAUUCAUAUCCGCUGAGAAAUAAAAUUAUAAGUAUAAUUAUGAGGGUUGCUCGUACUACAUGAUCGAAAAGAGGACGCCACGUGUGCUGAAUAGAUCUUCAACCAUCCAGCAGAUCCAUCAAUAAAUGCACUAAAACCGUACUGUGUUUGGUGCCUUGUCCUAUCAGCGUCUCUCGACAUCCCACUAGGCCACCGUCAUAUAAAAAUAAUAAUAAUAUAUUAUUUAACCAGAUAUUUAGAAAAACAAAAUAGUUAUAUGGAUGAAGAUUUAUAAUUGUACGGUAUGAUUAAUUUUAAUAAGAUUAAAAAUUAUAAUAAUAAAAAAAUUUAUUACUAUAUUAAUGAGAUUGAAUAUUAUAAUAAUAAAAUUAAAAUUAAUUAUAAAAUAUAUAUUUAGAUGUAAAAAUAAUAGUUGUGGUGAGAUAAAAUAUAAUAAAAAUAAAAAAUGAUUAUUAAAAAUACUAUACUCAAACUUAUUAUUUUUAUUAUUUAUGUAAUUAUAUAUUUUUUUAACUCAUAUUAAUUACAAAAUAUUUAUUUUUUAAUUUAUUCAAUAUUUAUUUGAUUAUAAAUUUUAGUAUUUAUUUAAUUUAUAAUUAUUUAUUAAUUAUUUUAUUAUAUAAUUAUAUAUCAUAUUUUAAUUAUUAUAUUAAAUUAACAAAGUUAUUUUUAAAUUUUAAAUAAAAAUAAAUAAAAUAAAACAAAAAAGAAAAAGGAAAAAGAAAAGGAAAAGGAAAAGGAAAAGGAAAAGAUUUAAAGGUAAAAAAAAAGAAAAAGUUAGGGUUUUAAUUGAAAAAAUAUAUAUAUUUCGUGAGGUUUUUCCCUAGAGCUUUGAGCUCCAAUCGAAAAAAUAACUUCAGCAUGUUGAAAAAGCAACAUAGCCUGUAACUUAAAGGGUAUAAUCUUAGAUGAUCAGUUCAAUUAGAGUGUAUAAUCUUAAUUCACUGACUUUAAUUGAUCAUCCAAAUGGGGUCUUAGAAUGGCUUACAAAAUAUAGUUUAGUUGCUUUUUCUGAUAACAUUCUGAUUAAUAGAAUUUGAUAAUUUUAAAUUUAAAAUCUUUAAAUUUAAAUCAUAAGAUCAGAAAGAGCUGACUCUAAUUACAUAACUUGCAGUCUCUCUACAAUGAUCUGAGAAGGAUUAAAUUUGAUUUUAUAUCUAAGAGAUCAAAAUUCUAAGUAGGCUAACUAUAACCAUUACAGGGAAAUAUUUUUGCAGAGCCAAACCCUGCAAUGGGUAACGCACCACACCCAACUCGUAAUUUCUAUACCUUUUAAUAAUGGUACCAUAACCAUAAACCACCCUUUUUUUUUCUUUUCUAAACUGGGAUUUUACUGCAUUUCAUCAUGACAACAAAAUAAACAAAUAGAGCACAUCUGAGCUUACCAGUACUAUAACAAAGUAGAGAAACCAGUGGCCAUUAAAUCAAACAAAAUCUCCAUUCAUUCAAUAAACUCUCCUUUAUACAAUAAAUUUGGACAUGUCCAUCUACACAUUAUAUCAAAACAUUUUUCUUCACCUUAUAUCUGAUUGUAAUAACAUUUUCAUAUCUAUAUUUCCAUUACAAAGAAUCUGAGUCAGAAGACCAACAAUUUUAGAGCACGAAAUCAAUCAAAGUUGUUCUCAAGUAGUUUUGAGAAGCAUACUUGAUGAAGAAUGUUCUCGAGUCUCAUUUGGGAGAGAUAUUGAUGAAUCAAUCCAUGGUCCAUCCAUAGAUGCGCUUCUUGGUGCCUGACUAUCAUGAGAAAAUAUUGAGACAUUCGUCUGGCUGUCGUGUGAUAGCAACUCAAAGGCUUCAAACCUUGCAUCCUGCUCCGCAUCCUUGCGCUUGAUUAAUGGAGCUUGGACAGGAAUCUUGCCUUUCAUCAUACUUACUGUAGGAAAACACUUAUUUACAGCUAGUUGUAAUCUUAUAAUCUGUAUAUUUAUAUUUAUAUCCUUAAAAUUAAGUAUUUGUAUCCCUAGAAUUAAGGACAAAAAAUUAGGAUAUACAAUCUCUCAAUUAUAGGAUUAGUUUUUAAGAAGAUUUAGUUUCCUAGUUUAACCCCUAGUUAGUUGUAUAUAAACAUAAGGUUCUUUUAUAAUUCUUAAUAAGCAGUUUUUCAAUAUACAUUCAGUUUUCACACUGAUUUAUUUCUUAGUUUUUUCAUAUAAUAUCAGAGCUUUAGGCUCUUCUUGGGAAGCAAAAUUUUCAGCCUUUAUUGCUGACUUUUUUAGGCCUUCAUUGCUGAAUCUUGGUUAGGCCUUCAUUGCCGAAUCCUUUCAAAGAAAGAUAUCACUACCACCCAAUUUGAGGAAAUGUUAACUAAGAAAAUCACUGGAGUACUAUAGAUGUCUCAGAAACAAAGAGAGUUUGACAGGGAAGAGAUUGAAAAGCUGAGAAACUUAUUGAAAAUCCUUGAAAAGCCUACUGUGGUAUGUUAUUUGGGUAAGGUUUUUAGUUCAAGUAAAGCUUCAUGUUCUCAUGGAUUAAAUGUCUCGACUAAGCCUAUUACGAGUUCUUAGGUCAUUGACUCAGGAGCCACAGAACACAUGAUACAUUUCUCACAAAAGUUUAAUACAUAUAACUUGUGUCCUAGUAAUAAAAAAAUUGUUGUUGCAGGUGGUUCACUUACCACAGUGGCAGGAUUAGGAGAUGUUUAAAUUAAUCCCUCGUUUAUUCUAAAAAAUGUUCUUCAUGUUCCUGGAUUGUCUACUAAUCUGAUAUCUAUACAAAAACUUACCAGAGAUAGGAAUUGCAAAGUAACUUUUUAUCCCUCUUAUUGUGAAUUUCAGGAUCAGAGUUCGGGAAAUAUGAUUGGACUUGCUAAAGAGAAGGAUGGACUAUACUAUCUUGAGACAUCAAAUAACACAAGCAAUAUCAAGAAUAUUUUACCUUUUUUAUUUCUUUUUGAAAAAUCUUCCAAUAAAAAUAAAAUCUAGCUUUAUCAUUUUCAUCUUGGACAUCCUUCUUUUGGAACCUUGAGAAACAUGUUUCCUUAUUUGUUCAAAGGAUUAAAUGUUGAAGAUUUUCAUUGUAAUGUUUGUGAACUUGCAAAGCAUAGACGUGUGUCUUUUCCAAUCAGUACAAAAGAAGCUCUACUCCCUUUUACUUGAUUCAUAGUGACAUUUGGGGUCCCUCUACAAUUCCUAAUAUUUUUAGUGCAAGAUGAUUUGUUUCGUUCAUAGAUGAUUGUACUAAGGUCUCUUGGGUUUUUUUUACUUAAAUCUAAAUCAGAUGUGAAUAGUAUAUUUUUAAGCUUCCAAAACAUGAUCCAAAAUCAAUUUGGAGUGAGAAUCAAGAGAUUUAGGUCUAAUAAUACAAGAGACUACUUCAACCAAAGUCUAUCUACCUAUUUCCAAAAAGAGAGGAUUAUUCAUGAGUCAUCUUGUGUUAAUACUCCACAACAUAAUGGAGUGACAAAGAAAAAAAACAGCCAUUUACUAGCCACAACCUGAGCCUUUCUUUUUCAAGCAAAUGUACCUAAAUUUUAUUAGGGGAAAGUUAUUCUCACUGCCAUACAUAUUAUAAAUAGGUUACCUUUAAGGGUUUUGGGAUUUAAAACUCCUAUGGAACUACUCUCACAAUUUUAUCCCAACCUCAAUACCACAAACAAUCUCACACCUAAGAUAUUUGGUUGUACAUCAUUUGUUCAUGUUCACAGUCAUAACAGGGAAAAGUUGGAUCCAAGAGCAAUUUAGUAUAUUUUUGUAGGGUAUUCUUCAACUCAAAAAGGAUAUAAAUGCUAUCAUCCUCUUACCAAAAAAUUUUAUGUGUCCGCGGAUGUCACUUUUGAAGAAAGUAAACCAUUUUUUUUUUCAAUCUUAUGUUCUGGGGGAGACUUUAUUCAUGGAAGAUAAGGAUAAAUAUUUUUUGUUGCUUGAUUUUUUUCCUUCUUCAACAUUUACACCCAUUAAUUCUUCUGAGUCGAAACUUGUUUCUGCUGAGCCCAAUUCAAACACUAAAUUUGAGUCUGAACCCAUUCCAAAUACAAAAGAUGUGACAAAGGAUAAUAUUAUUUUUAAUUUUAUGAAGGAAUUACAGGUGUACUCAAGAAGAAAAGUUUCAGAUCCUGAACCAGUGCCAGUCCAAAAACCUGAUCUUAACUCUGAAAAUGAGAUAACUACAGUUUUUGACUCUGUUUCUCAAAAUGAGCAUGAAUCUCCUAAAACUAUAACUAGUGAUUAUGAUCUGCCUAUUGCCAUUAGAAAAGGAACCAAAGAAUGUACUAAGCAUCCACUAUACCCAAUCUCUAAUUUUGUGUCAUUUGAAAAUUUUUCACUAUCUCACAAAAAUUUUCUUGUGAGCCUAAACACUAUUUCUGUUCCAACUACAUUAUCCGAGGCAUUAUCCAGUGAAAAAUAGAGGCAAGCCAUGAAAAUAGAAAUGGAGGCCUUAGAGAAAAAUCAGACAUGGGAACUGGUAGAGUUGCCUAAAGAAAAAAAAUCAGUGGGGUGUAAAUGAGUUUUCACUAUAAAAUACAAAGUAGAUGGUACUGUUGAAAGGUAUAAAGUCAGGUUAGUGGCUAAGGGCUACACUCAAACCUAUGGAGUGGAUUAUUAGGAAAUCUUCACUCCAGUUGCCAUGAUGAAUACAAUUAGGAUUUUGUUAUAAUUGGCUGCAAAUUACAAUUGGCAACUUUAACAAUUUGAUGUAAAGAAUACUUUUCUACAUGGUGAUUUGGAAGAAGAAAUAUAUAUGAAGGUUCCACCGAGAUUUAGAGGUCAUCUAGAAGCAAACAAAGUAUGCAGGCUAAAAAAGGCUUUAUAUGGCCUUAAACAGCCUUCUAAGGCUUAGUUCGAAAGAUUUACCAAAGUGAUGCUAGCAAUGGGAUAUAAACAGAGUCAAGGAGAUCACAUAUUGUUUAUCAAGCACUUUGAUUUAGGGAGAGUCACAGUUUUAUUAGUGUAUGUUGAUGAUAUAAAUGUAACUGAAGAUGAUGAAAAAGAGAAAGAAUCUCUAAAACAGUGUUUAGCUAGAGAAUUUAAGAUAAAAGAGCUAGAAAGAUUGAAAUACUUCCCAGAAAUUGAAGUAGCUUACUCACGACAUGGUAUCUUAUCUCACAACAGAAAUAUGUGAUAGAUCUUCUGAAAAAAAUUGGAAAACUCGCAUGUAAACCUACAAAUACCCCUAUAGAUCCUAAUCAUAAAAUUGAAAAAGCUAAUGAAGAUGAUGUUGUAAACAGAGAGAUGUACCAAAGAUUAGUUGGAAGACUCAUUUAUCUCUCACAUACUAAACCUGAAAUAGCAUAUGCUGUGAGUGUAGUAAGUGAAUUUAUGCAUAGUCCUAAGGAAGUGCACUUACAGGCUGUCUACAGUAUAUUACACUAUUUGAAGGCCAAUCCUGAGAGAGGUAUCUUAUUCAAAAGAAAUUCAGAGUUAGUUCUAGAAGCAUAAACAGAUGCUGAUUAUGCAGGUUCAGUAACUGAUAAAAGAUCUAUCUCAGGCUACUGCACUUUCUUAGGUGGUAAUCUUAUAACUUGGAGGAGUAAAAAAUAGAAUGUGAUGGUAAGAUCAAGUGCUAAAGUAGAGUUCAGAGCAAUGACUCAAGAAAUUUGUGAACUACUAUGGUUAAAGAUUAUCCUAGAAGACUUGAAGAUCAAGUGAGAUGGAUCAAUGAGACUCUAUUGUGAUAACAAGUCUACAAUAAGCAUUGCACACAAUCCUGUGCAACAUGAUAGAAUAAAACACAUUAAAGUAGAUCGAUAUUUCAUAAAGAAAAAACUAGACAGUGGGUUGAUUUGUACACCUUAUGUAUCAACCAAGGGUCAACUUACAAAUGUGUUGACUAAAAGUCUCAGCAGUGCAACAUUUCAAGAAAUUAUUUCCAAGUUGGGAAUGGAAAAUACCUAUUCACUAGCUUGAAGAAGAGUAUGGAAAAAUACUUAUUUACAGCUAGUUAUAAUCUUGUAAUCUGUAUAUUUAUAUUUGUAUCCCUAAAAUUAAGUAUUUGUAUCCCUAGAAUUAAGGAUAAAAAAUUAAGAUAGACAAUCUCACAAUUAUAAGAUUAGUUUUUUAGAAAGAUUUAGUUUCCUAGUUUAACUCCUAGUUAGUUGUAUAUAAAUCUAAGGUUUUUGUAUAAUUCUUAAUGAGUAAUUUUUUAAUAUACAUUUAGUUUCUACACUGAUUUAUUUCUUAGUUUUUCCAUAACAAAAGACAUGGAUGGCCUUAGAGUGAGAGAUGGAUUGGUGCACAAAAGAGCAAAGUUAAACAUCCUUAAUGCCUCUUCUUUUCAGUUGUUUGAACCGAGACUUGGAUCGAAAAGCUCUAAAAGGUUUCCUUGCUCUUGCAUGACAUAGGCCUACAAUCAUAUUCGGUAAAAAAGUUAGCUAAUGAGUCGAGCAUCGCAUAUUUGCAUAACACGUAAGAAAAACAAAGAAAAAACUAAGUACAAAACCAAAGAUUACACAGUAAAAAUGCAAAAGCUGAUAAAUAGAGCUCACCAAUCAAGGAGAUAAACAAACUCCUCUUUAGGCUUGUAAUUUGUGUUACUCUUCCUACUGUCAAUCUCUAAAAGAACAACACCAAAGCUAUAAACAUCUACUUUGUCUGUCAAGUAACCCCUCAUUGCAUAUUCAGGCGCCAUGUAACCUCUGGAUAACAAAAAGACACAGAAAAUGUUGAAUAUAGGAGUAGAGAAUCAGAAACCUCAAAGCAGCAUCAGAUAAUAGUACCCCAGUCAAAGUUUGACAUAUUACAAAUAAUUCACAUCAUACUACUAAUCCAUCUGCUAAUUCCCUAAUGCCAUCUUUUUUUAUUGGAACAAAAGAGACCGCAGCUUGGGAUAGGGAAAAGAGUUGUGCAAGUGCUGAGAUUUGAGCCUCAGACCAAAUAUCACCUCUUAAAAGUGAUUAAACGAACCCGCUGAGUUAAACCUCUCUUUUUACCAAAAGCUGAUAUAUAUAUACAUAUAUAUUUAUUUUAUGGACUAAACAUCAACAGAAAUGUCUUUAUGAGAAUAGAUAACUUUUUCUCCAUAUUUAUCAAAAAGAGAAAAAACUCUUCAAGCCCAUAUUUCAAUAUUUAAUCAAUUAUAACAGAAAAAUAAAAAACUUUAAAAGAUUCAGGAAGGGAGAGAGAGAGAGAGAGAUAAGGGGAAGAGACUCAUAUUGUUUCAGUUAUUCUUAUGCUGAUAUGGGUGUUCUCUUUUUCAUCGAGUUUUGCUAAUCCAAAUUCAGAUAUCUUAGCAUUGAGAUCCUUAUCAAGUAACGCAUUUGUUGCCUUAAUAUCUCUGUGAACAAUCUUCAGUCUUGACUUCUCAUGAAGAUAAGCUAGACCUUGCGCUAUUCCCAAGCAUAUUUUCGUUCUUGUUGACCACUCCAAUAUAAGACGUUGGUCAUUACGACCUGGAAAGAAUGAUUGAAAAAAGAAGAGAUUGUUAGUCAUCAUUAUCAAUCUAGAACUACUGUUAGAUGUUAUCUAAUAUGGUAAUGAAACAAUUACCAAAAAGUUCAUGAGCAAGAUUGUUGUUUUCCAAGUACUCGUAUGUCAGCAACAGCUGAUUUCCUUCAAUACAACAGCCAAAAAGCUUCAUAAGAUUUAGGUGUUGUAAUGUAGAAAUCAUCCUUCUCUCAUUCACGAAUUCACGAUUUCCUUGCUUAGAUUUAGAGGAUAGCUGUUUAACUGCAAUUAUUGUACCAUCUGAUAAUACACCCUACAAACAAGCAGAUUAAAAUUUAAGAAAAGUUUAAAAAAUAAUCUCUUCUCCCUUUUAGUACUAAGAUUGCAUGUCAUAAAAUAGACACUUCAUCAGUAUCUGAGUACUAUAACCAUUAGGCUUCCAAUCUUAGACUAAAAUGACAACAAUUAUUACCUUGUAUAUUGGACCAAAUCAUCAUUUGCCAAUCUUAUUUGCAGAAUCAAAAUUAUUGUUAGCCGCCUUAAUUUAUCUUAAUUGAAAUAGCCAGACUGAAGUUUUAGCCCAUGAAGUUCUGUAAUAUGAACAGAUAAAAAAAUUUAACCCAUCAUAGAGAAAAACAUAAACAAUAACAUAUUUUACUCUUUUUUUUUAUCCUAAGAAAGUAAUAAUCAAAGGCAAAGAUAAUUGUUAUGCAAAUAUUUCUUGUAUUUAUGGCUUUACCAUUGUUUUCAUCAUCUUUGUCUCCCAAGUAACCUUUCAGUCUGAGGAUGAUCAAUAGCAAAAUGACAAUCACACAUGAGUCAAUUACAAUAGAAGCAAUGGCUCCAGCUGAUAACCAUUUUUCGGUGUCAAACUUGAAGUCUAAAGAAGAAAAGCUAAAGUUUAGUAAGGAGCCAAUUCUUCCAUGUGAUAUGGACUUACUAGGAGUUACUGUGGUAACAGAUAUAAGUGGUCCAUAAACCCCUCUGUUGGGAAUGGCAGUGGUUCAUUUCCCUCUCCAGUAUGAGUGAAUCUCCAAAGUACUUCCAUUUAUGUCAACAUUGAAUUCCCUGGUGAUGCCCCUAGCUGAACCACCAGCUUCCUCCAUAAUAUUGAAAUCCUCCAAAACUACUUGUCUCUUGUAGUCAAAUUUAUUGGGCUUAAAGCAAUAAACACAAUAAUGCAUAAGUAAUACAUUGUAAUAAACCCAUAACAAUAGACAACAAUCAAUAAUAAAAAAUAUUAAAAAAAUAAAGUACACCAAGAUUUACAUGAAAAACCUCAAGUAUAGAGAAAAAAAUCACAGACCACUAGAAAAAUCUUCACUAUCAAAUAAUGGAUAUACAAAGUUCUUCUCUAGCUAAAACUAGAGCUAAUCAGCAACUAGAGAGAGACAAUUGGAAAAAUCUCAUCAAAUAGGUGACUCAACAAAUACACCCUUAGAUUUGUUCUUAGAGAGCUUCAAACCCGAUCGUCAUUGUUUAAAAUAUAGAUCUCUGAAUCAUAAACUUGCUAACAAAAUUUUAGCUCAAUCGGACUAUGGAUCAACUUUCGUUCAACUAACUCUCCCUUCUUCAUUCUCUUUUUAUUUUUUUGGCUUUUUUUCUUUCUCUUCUUGGUUUUGGACACCACCUUAAAAAAACCCCACCUCUUUUUAUUAAGUAGCUAGGGCAUUGUGUAAAAAGAAAGACCAAGGCCCAUGGCCUUUGAUUGGUCCAAAACCAAUUACAUAGGGCUAGACCCCAUUUUCCUAGUAAUCUCCCUCUCUAGCCCCAUUAAGAGGAGAUUCAUCACUAUAAUAGUUUCAUUUGGAACUUACCUUAGCCAAGGAACUCAUUUCGGCCAAGUUACUAUAGAGUUCAAGCUUCUCCCUGAAAAGUAUCUUAGUCAACAUAUUUGCUACAUUCUUAUCAGUAUGAACUUUUUUCAAUAGCAUAUGUUGUUCCUCAAUCACUGAACAUAACUAGUGAUAUCUAACAUAAUGUGCUUCGUUCUAGCAUGGUAUAUGGCAUUCUUACUCAAAUCUAAAGCAUUUUGGUUAUCACAAAACAUCACAUACUCUUUCUGAUUCAACCCUAAUUCAAGAAGAAAAUAUUUUAUCCAAAGCAUUUCUUUACUUGCUUCAAUUGCUGCAAUAUACUCAGCUUCUAUAGUUGAUAAAGUAACACACUUCUGUAGCUUAGACUACCAAGACACAGCUUCUCCUGCAAAAGUGAAUAAAUACCCUAAAUAUAGAUUUUCUACUAUCAAGAUCACCUACCAUGUCAACAUCAAUAAACCCUUUUAGAACUGGUUGUAAAACUUCAUAACUUAAGCACAUUUUUGAAGUGCCCCUCAAAUAUCUGAAAAUCCAUUUCACUGCUUCCUAAUGAACCUUUCUUGGAUUAAAAAGAAAUCUGCUCACUACACCAACUACAUGAGCAAUAUUAGGCCGUGUACAAACCAUAAAAUAUAUUAAAUAAUUGAUUGCAAAAGAAUAAGGAAUAUUAGACAUAGCUAGUUACUCUUCCUUAAACACCGGACAAGAUUUAUUACUCAAAUGAAAAUAGUUGGCAAGUGGACUGCUAACUAAUUUAACAUGUUGCAUGUUAAAUCUACCAAGCUUUUUUUAUGACAACCACAGCUUUCCAACUCUCAUAUCCAGGAUAAUGUCCAUAUCAAGAAUUUGCUUUGCUGGACCAAAAUUCUCCAUGUUAAAAGACUUAGACAAUUAUUCUUUUAACCUACAAACCAUAUCAGCAUCUUAUCCCAUAAUCAACAUAUCAUCAACAUAUAAUAAGAGAAUAAUAAAAUUACCAUCAUGAAACUUUUUUGACAUACACACAAGGAUCCGCUAACGUUCUUUAAUAGCUGUGACUCACCAUAAAAAAAUCAAACUUUUUGUGCCAUUGUCGCGGAGCUUGUUUCAAGCCAUACAAGCUUUUCUUCAAUUUACAAACUAAGUGCUCUUUUCCUUUCACUUCAAAACCCUCAGGUUGAUUCAUAUAAAUGUCAUUCUAUAAGUCACCAUGUAAGAAUGCAGUUUUAACAUCAAGUUGCUCAAGCUCAAUAUUCAAACUAGCUGUUAAUCCCAUCACCACUCGAAUGAAACUCAUUUUCACAACUGGAGAGAAGAUUUCAUCAAAAUCGAUGUCAGGUUUCUGAAAAAAAAAGGCUUUUACCACUAAUCGAGCUUUGUACCUUACUAGUUUGUCACCAUCCUUUGUUAACUUAAAUACCAAUUUAUUUUUCAAUGGUCUCUUUCCUUUUAAAAGUUUAACAAGAUCAUAAGUAUCAUUUUUUAGCAAUGACUCCAUCUUUUCUUUCAUUACUUUUAAGUAGUGCUCUUUAGCUGGAGUAGUUUGCACAUCUUGAAAGCUUUCUAGCUCCCUCUCAUUAGUAACUAAAAUAAAAUUUAAACUUGGAUACUUAGUAGAUGGCAUAUGCUCUCUAAUAGAUCUUCUGGACUAAAACUCUACACCACCUUAUGCCGAAGGUAGCUUUCCCUGCUCAACACUCUCAAGUAGAAAGGAUUGCUCUCUCUACUCAAAACUAAUUGCAUUUGGCUCAUCACUAAUUGUGGUUAGCUUAUUUAUAUCCCUAAGUUCUGUUUCUUGCUCAUUUUUACCAUCUGUGGCUUUUUCUUGUAAAACCUUUGUCGGUGUUAAAAUGUCACACUCAACAGUAACUCGUGUAGUCUUCUCAUUUUUCUUAAGGUCUGCUAUGAUUUUUUUUCAUGAUAGACCACAUCUCUACUUUUGACUGUCUUUCUUUUCAUUGGAUCUCAUACCCUGUAGUCAAAUUUCUUAUCACCAUAUCCCACAAACAUACACUAUGUGGCUUUACUAUCAAAUUUUGACCUCUAUUCUUUCAGCAUAUGCAUGAAUGCUUUAUACUCGAAAACUUUCAAAUGAGAGUAUGAAGCAUCUUUCCCUGUACAUACUCUUUUUAGAACGUCAAAGCCCAUAAGAACUUAUGUUGAUCUGCUAAACAAAUAACAAGUUAUGUUGACUACUUCACUCAGAAUGGCUUUGGUAAUUUUGUCAUCCUCAAUAUGCUUCUAACUUUUUUCAUAAUAGUGCAGUUCAUCCUUUCAGCUACACCAUUAUGCUACGAUGUUCCACAUUCUGUCAUCUCAUAUUUGAUCUCAUACUUUAAACAAUACUCUUCAAAGUCUUUAGAUGUGUAUUCUCCACUAUUAUCAGUCCAAAUAAACUUCAAGGAUAAUCCUAUGAUUUUUUCCAUCAUAACAUGAAAAUUUUAAAAAUACUGUAAUACCUGACUUUUAUUUUUCAACAUAUCCACCCAAGUCUUACGUGAAGCAUCAUCAAUAAAAGUAAUAAAAUACUUGUUACCUCCUAAUGACUCAACUUCAAUAGGACCACAUACAUCAGAAUAAAUCAAUUCUAAUCUAUUUUCUUUUCUCUCAGAACUCUUACGAAAAGAAACUCUAGGAUGCUUAAUAAAUAAACAGUAAUCACAUAAAUCGAGAGACAUACCUUUGGUCAAUGGAAUGAGAGAUUACUUUGCCAAAACUUGUAACCCUUUCUCACUCAUAUGUGCUAGCCUUUUGUGUCACAAGUUUACUGAAGCAUCAUCCUCAAUGGUAUUUACUUUGUUACCGUUCAAUUGCAUCCAUGUCUUAUACAUUAUGCAGCAAGGUUUUCCCUUGUAACUACCAUAAAUCUUUUAAAAAGCUUCCACUACCCAUUUUUUUUGUCGACUCUCAUAUCCCUCUUUAUUAAGGACAUUAAUGGCAAGCAAGUUCAUUCUUAUAUCUAGAAUGUGUCUGACAUCCCUCAAAGUUAACAUGUAGUCUGUACUAAUUUGUACAACAAUAUCACCAAUCCCAAGAAUCUAUGACACACUCUUGUUUCUCAACUUGGUACAACUAAAGUCUCUUGCUUUGUAAAUUGUAAACAACUCUCUCUUAGGAAUACAAUGAUAUAUCGCUCCUAUGUCAACUAUCCACUAAAUGUCGAGAUCACUAACAUGAUUACAAUCACUAUGUGUACAAAUCAAAGUAACUGAAUCACUAUCUAAAUUCACUGCUACAAUAUUGCCAUCAUCUGAACUCUUAUUUUUCUCAUCUUUUCACUCUUACUUCAAGAUUUUACAAUGUCAUUUUAUAUGACCUAUUUUACCACCAUGGAAACAUUUCAUUUAAUCUUUGGACUUGGAUUUAUAUUUAGACUUACUACGGCCUUUUGAGUUUUGACCUUUGUCGAUGUUUAUACCCCUAUUUUUUGUGACUAAAGCUUGAUUUUUAGGGUCUACAUUUUUUCAUCUUACUUCUUCAUUAAGCAUACUAUCUUUUACUAUCUCCAAUGUCAUCAUAUAAUCAAGAGCUGAAUUAAGAACAGUUAUAACUAGAGUAUUUCAGUUGUCUAGCAAUGAACCUAAAAAAAUAAUUUUUUUAUUUCAUCAUCCACUUAAGCUCUAUAGUAAUCCUCUGAUUAAAUAUAUCUUAAAAAUCACUCAAGUGCUCUGUAAUAAAUUGUCCAUCCUUAUAUUGUAAAAUUGUAAGCUUUUUAACAAGCAUAGUUUUAUUCAUACCUAUUUUUUUUUCAAACAAUGCUACCAAUUUUUUUCAAACAGUGUGGGCAUCUAUCUCCUACACUACAUGAUGGAAUACGUUGAUAUCAACCCAUUAACUGAUUGUAGCUAACAUCUUUCUGCCUAACUUCAUUCAGUUUUCAUCUUUCAUAUCUAUUAGUUUAGCCGAAUCACCUAAUACUGACUCAUACAAAUCUUUGCAAUAUAAAUGAUCUUCCAUCAUAGGCUUUCAAAUUGAAUAAUUUGAUGUUAUCAAUUUUAUCAUGGAUCUUGUAUUACCCUUUAUGAUCUCAAACAAAAUUACUUCUAUCUUAGACUGCUUUUGUAUCGUUGUCUCAAAAUAACCCUCACUCUAAUACCACUUAUUAGGCCUGAAGCAAUAAACACAACAAUGCAUAAGUAAUAUAUUGUAAUAAACUUAUAGUAAUAGACAACAAUCAAUAAUAAAAAUAUAAAAAAAUAAAGUACACCAAGAUUUACAUGAAAAAUCUUCCGGUGUAAAGAAAAAAAAUCACGAACCACCAGAAAAAUUGUCACUAUCAAAUAACGGAUACAAAGUUUUUCUUUAACUAAAACUAGAACUAAUCAACAACUAAAGAGAGAUAAUUAGAGAUACAAUAAUAACCUUGUCAAACCAAGUUCUUUAUUAAUUAUAUUUUCUUAUUUCGAAUUCCGUAUGCUCGUUAUUCCAGCACAAACAAGAUGAAAAGUGCCAUUUCCGACUAAAGUCAAUAUUCAUAAAAAUAAAUCUCAAUUUUCCAAAAGAAAAAAGCGCGUUUCCAAUCUCCAUGAAUUUUCAAGCUUGUUGCAUUGUACAAGAAAAAUUAGGUGCUCAAAUAUAUUAUAAUAUCGCUCAAAGUCUUUCCAAUUAAAGUCAAAAUUAUACAGCUAUUUUUUGCAGUGCGUUAUCUUGACUUAAGAAAACAGUUGAACUUGAAAAUGCUCAAUUUUAACACGAAGUCAAAAAACGGGGAACAAAUUGUCCUCUUUUUAUUAAAAUAAUUUUGAAAACCAGAAAUCACGUUUUCUGCCUCUUAAUUGAUUAAAUGUGUUGAAAUUCCUGUAAGAACUUGAUUUUGAUUUGCUUCAAUCUCGCAGCAACUUCUUUCGUAUCAAUCCUCUCUUCUGGUAAUUCUGCUGAACAUUCCAAAGCUAAUUGCAAAAUGGAUAAUAUACAAUCCUAUGUAGCUAAGCGUUCUCUUUCUGUGGCAUUUAGCAAAUUAGCGUCUGCAACAUGAAUUACCGCAGAUGGUAAUGACUCUUUCACCCAACACUUCAAGCUCUUUUCUUCUCCAAACAUUUCAUCUGUAGGCUUUUUUCUCGUGAAAGUUUCCAUAAGAAGAAUACCAAAACUAUAUAUAUCACCUUUUAUAGAAACAAUUCCUUCUGAUCCAUAUUCUGCAUAAAGAAAUUAAUUUAAAUUCAUCAUUGAUAUUUCGCGAUAAUAAAAAAAAAUUGCUUAAAAUUUUAGAGAUUAUGAAUCUAAUUAAAGGCAUGCACGUUCUAUAAACAUAUAUGAGUACAAAUAUCAUCUAAGAUUGAUAUAAUAAAAUUAAACCAUUAACUGGUGACAUAUAUCCAAUCGUUGCUAGCGUCAUGGUUUGUGUAAUUAAAUCCUCUUCACUUAUGAGUUUUGCAAUGCCAAAAUCACCCAGAUGCGCAAUCAUAUCAUUAUCUAGCAGGACAUUGUUCGGCUUUAAAUCGCAAUGAACCACAGGUGGGGAAUGACCAUGGUGAAGAUGUUCCAAUGCCAACGCGAUGUCUAUCAUUAUGUUCAACCUUUGCGAAACAUCCAAAAAAUGGUUGUGGGAAUAUAGCCACCUCUCCAAGCUUCCAUUCGGCAUGAACUCAAGAACCAAGGCUUUAAAUUCAAUAUUGGAGCAACUACUAAUGAUUUUGACCAAAUUUCGAUGACGAAUGUUGCGAAGGACCUCACACUCAACAGCAAAGCUUCUGAGGGCUCUAUCUAUAUUUACAUUAAAGACUUUUACAGCAAUGUUUAUCCCAUCUGAGAGAGUCCCUUGGUAUACUGACCCAAAACUCCCUACCCCAAUUAAUUUGCUUUCAGAAAAUCCAUCCGUAACUUGAUCUAGCUCAUGGUAAGAAAUUCUUCUCCAUUCUGCCAAUGGUAGCAAAUUUUCUUCAGUGAUUGGCACUUCAGCUUUCCUAUUUCGUAAAAAAAUGAUAACCAUAGCCAAUAUUAAUAUGGCUGAGGCAAUUGCUGGUAGAAUAUAUUUCAAAAGCUCAGUACCCGUCUUAGAGGGAUCAGUUUUGCAAGGUGGAACUUGAAGUCGAGACGAACCACAUAAGGCUUCAUUGCCCAUAAAUGAUUGGCUCGAGUAGUUCACAAAUGAUCCUCCAUUAGGAAUUUCUCCUUGUAGCCUAUUGAAAGAGACAUUCAAAUAGUUUAGAUUUGGGAGCUUCUCUAAGGACUUGGGGAUCAUUCCUGAGAGGUUAUUUCUCGACAAAUCCAAGUAUUCCAAACUUAUCAACUCAUCAAAAGAUUGAGGAAUAGAACCCUGUAGCAUAUUACCAGAUAAGGAGAGAAGAGUUAGAUGUGCGAGAUCAGCAAUGCUGCUUGGGAUAGUACCUGUGAACUGGUUCUCUGACAAAUUCAAAUUAGUCACAGAACUCCACUUUCCAAUAUCAACUGGGAGAGAGCCACUUAGAGAAUUUGAAGCCAAUUCUAGGAACAAGAUACCAUUAAGUCUUGUCAAGGUAGAUGGAAUUGAGGUAAAAUUGUUGGAGCCUAAGAAAAGAUUUCUCAGAGAAACGAUAUUGCCUAAGCAUGCUGGUAUUGGUCCAGAUAGUCUGUUAUCUGUGAGAGUCAAGUAAGCCAGCCUCUCCAGAUGACAUAACUCAAAUGGAAUGGUUCCUUCUAGCUUAUUGCUCCCAAGAUUAACAUUUUGCAGAUCUCUCAAUCCUCCAAUUGUAGUAGGUAUCGGUCCGGUCAAGUUAUUAUGGUCAAAACCUAACCAAACCAAGUUGCUCAAGUUACCAAUUUCACUUGGGAUGUUGCCCUUAAUGUUGCAAUGAGAACCAUAGAAAAGGGUCAGAGAAGCAGAUAGAUUUCCUACAGAAAUUGGAAGUUCACCGCUGACCAAUGGAUUAUCAUCAAAUAUCAACUCGUCCAAGUCUUUGCAGUUUGUCAGUGAUGAGAGGAAGCUCAAUUCACGGGAUGAAGGGUUGCUACUUAGAUUGUUAUGACUUAGGUCGAGGCGUUGUAGAUGUCUUAGAUUGCCAAGCGUGUCAGGAAUGAUUCCAGAAAAGGAAUUAUUCGCCAAUUGGAGUAGAAUAAGCUGAGUGGCAUUGGAGAUGGAGAUCGGGAUUGGUCCACUUAGUUCAUUUAGUGCAAGAUAAAGCCGUUGUAGAUUCGGAACUCCAAGGCCUGUAGUUGAUGGAAGCUGGCCUGAGAAACGAUUCGAAGCAAGCGAAAUGGUCCUUGCAGUUGAGAUGUUAAAGAUUGAAGGAGGGAUGACACCAGUGAAACUAUAAUUUUCCAAGACUAUCAUUUCUAUAUUCUGUAGGUUGCCAAUCUGACUUGGAAGUGUACCUGCCAUAAUUAAUUUCAUUCACAUUAAUUUUAAGGAAAAUGUUAUAUAGCUGGAUAAUCAACCAGAAAUUAUUUGAUGUACUAACGAUGCAGUUUUUUAAUUUCACAAUUAGAGAUAAGGCUGACACAUAUUUCAUUAUUUUGUAAUUAAUUUUUUAAUUUUAUUUUUAAUAUCCUCUAUGGGAUAUGUCUCACUUCUUUUAAUCAGUUAUAUGUUCCUACUUAAUUUAAAUCAUUUUUACUAGAAUUUGUCCAUAUCCACUUAUUAGUGAAAGAGGGCAAAAAAACAGUUUCUCUCGUGUAAAAGAUAGUUUCUGACGUGAUUAUUACUGUGUGUAGAUUUGGUUCAAUAAAUUGGAUUUUUUAAUUAUUUUUUAAAUUAGAGUGCUUGAUUAUCUAGUGAUUUAUUACAUAUAAAUAUAAUACUUGAUUACGAUAAUAAUUUGUAUUUAUAAUUUUAUUAGAACCAAUUUAAAAUGAUACAAUUAAGAAAUUAAAUGAUUAAUAUAACUCUAUUUUUAUAUGUUAUUUAAUUAUGUAAUUAAAGUUUUAGAGUGUAUUUCAUAAAUUAUUGAAAAUCUUUAAGCCAUUGAAAACUAAUUUUUCAAUAAUUUAAUUUUUUAAUGCAUGCAUUUGAUUAUUCAAUUUUUUUUUAGAUGUGUUCAUUCUGUGGCAAACUCAUCACGUUUCCACGAUAAGAAGAAGGUGGUAACAAUUCUCGUGAGCAACCUCCCUGACAAAAUUCAUUGGAAAUGGUUGGAGAAAGUAUGUAAUGAUUUUGGAAAGGUGGUUGAUGUAUUUAUCUAUAGGAAAAAGAUUUUCCUAGUGGAAGUGGGAAAAGAAUCAAAUUUGUGUGAUAUGCUAUCUUUAGAAGAAGCGAUGAAGGUUGUCAGGAAUCUCAAUGCAUUUGGUUUUUGGAAAACAAGAUUGUGGAGACUAACAUUUAAUCUAUAAGGUAUUAUUUAUUUUGAUCUAAAAAUUUUAUAAUUUUAUCCUACAAAAUGUACCUUACAAGUUUGAGUUUAAGCCUUAACUUAUAUAUCAUAGCAGAUCUUCAAAAUAUCUCAAUAUGAGAUUAAGGUAUCACAAACUCCUCUGUUAAAACUUGAUGUUCCUGUCAAGCCUAAUACAAAGCACAGAUAACUAAGAUCACAUCAGACAUUAGGAUUCUAGAGAUGACUCUCAUGAUGUAACACAUAGGUCUCGUCCUAUUGAUGACCUCUUUGAUACUAUUUGUGAAGAUCCGCAUCCAACCUGUGAAGUGUUUUUUAUGAGACAAAAUUGUGAAACCUUUGAGUCAAAGUAGACAAUACCUCGCAAAUUAGGUGAAAAUCUCCAAAAAUGAUAUCAGAGUCAGCUUUGUGAUUCUAUGAAUUUUGGAAUCCUUAUUGUGAUUGAUAUUUAGACACAAGCUUUGAAAAUUUUUUUAAAGGUAAAGUUUGUUGAUGUGGAUAAAAAAAAAUAAUGGCAAAUUUGUAAGUAAUUGAUUUUGGUACGAGUUUUGAUAAAAUAGUAACCUUAAGCCCAAGUUAUUAAAAAGGUUUAUUUUGAUAUUUGGAGAUCCUAUACAUAGAAUUGAGGUUAGAUUUAUGACUUUUAGUGAUUUAUUUGAGUUUUACUUUUGGAUCUUUAAUAAAUCCUUUAGUACAAAUUUUGUGGUAUCUUAGAGUCAAAGUAUGAAAUAUAUAAGUUGUUGUGAGAUGAUAUAUCUGUAAAUGAAGUGACUUUGAUGGGAUUUUGAUAAGUUGGAUAUUAUAUAUCUAAGAGUUAUUAUUAAGAAUGAAAAAAAUCUUUUGAGACAUAUAAUAUUGAAAUCAAAUUCUAGAUGUAUAAAAGUUUUGGAGUUAUGUAUUAUGAACCUUAGAUCAUCGAACUAGUUGUAUUUGCAUGAUAUUAAGUAUGAAAUAUAGGAGUUGACAAGAAUCAAUAUUAGUUAAUUUGAAGUAAUUUCAUAUUGAUAUCUAUGAAAUUUUUAUGGAUAUUGUUAUUAUAUUAUUUUUAAAAUUUGUAUUCUUAGUUAAUUAAAAUUAUAAUGGACAUAAGGAUAAUCACCUAGGCAAGAUUUUGACUUUAGUGAAUAACAUUUAAACUUAAUGACAAGAACUAAUAUUUUGAGCAUUUGUUGAAAUUCGAUCAUUAGAUGUAUAUUUUGGAGUAUUAUGAAAUGUUGUUAGUUAAUUAGUGUGAUUACAUUAUGAUUAUAAGUUUUGAUUGAGGUAGAAUGUAAAUAUCAUUAAAUAGUGUUUAAUAAAGAAUAUCAUUUGUUAUGGUAUAAGACAUAUGCCAUGAUUUUUACGAGAAAACUAAGGUUGUGAUCAUUUAAAGAUAUCAUUAAUGAAGUACAUUUUGAAUGAGUAUUUUGAGUUACGAGAUUAUGUUUUACUAAGAAUAAAUCAUUGUGCAAUAAGUAUACAGGUUAUAUUUGUUAAAGUUCUUUUGUCAAAUUAUUAAUAGUAAUAUACUUGGUUACAAGGAAUUUUUAAACAUUAUGAUGUUAUGAGCUUUGUGAAGAAUUCUCCUAUUAUACGAUAAUUGACCAAUAGAAUUCGAAAGCUAUUAAUAGAUGAAUUUGUAGUUGUAUUGGGUACAAAGAAAUUAUGUUUGAAUUUAUGACACCCUAAUUUCAUAUCAGGAUAUUCAUUAGAUUUGCUAUGAUAUAUAAGUUGAUACUUAAAACCAAAUUUAUGAGGCAACUCUUGUAGGACAAAAUCGUGAUAUUUUCAAGCCAAAGCGAACAAUACCUUGUAGGUUAAGUGUAGGUGAUGUCCCCAUCAAACUCAACACAAAGCAUAUAGAACCACAAAAUUAAGAUUAAACCAAAUAUUAGGAUUCUCAAUGUGGCUUCCACCAUGUAACAUUUAGCACUUGUCCGACUGAUAACCGCUUUAAUAUUAUUUAUGAAGAUCAGUACCUAAGUUGCAAGAUAUUGUCCGCUUUAACCCAAAAGUCUUAUGAUUUUAUCCUACAAAAGGUAACUCAUAAGUUUGAGUGUAACUCUCAACUUAUAUAUCAUAGCAGAUUCUUAAAACAUUUCAAUAUAAAAUUAGGGUGUCACAAAGAUAGGAGUUAAUUUCACUAGGUUUAAUCCUAGAGCUUCUUUUUAACGUAAAGAAAAAGUUAAAAGAGUUGAUGAUGUAAAAAAACAUUCAUGUAAUUGAGACUCAAAGUAUGAAUAAGGGUGUAAAUGGAAAGGUUAGUCAAGGAACAGAUGCAAUGGGAAAUCAAAAUGAAAACCAAGUGGGUAAUCACGAAAGUAUCCAAAGAUCUUAUCUCGAAGCAUUGAUGGAAAGGAAUAAAAAGGAAGAAUCUCUUUCUCCUUGUGAGAAUGGAUUGAUUUCUAAAGAUUAUAAAAAUUAGGUGUAUUUAGAUUGAUUUCUAAAGAUUAUAAAAAUUAGGUGUAUUUAGGUGCUUUGCAAUGAUAAGGUAUGGUAGAUGAGAAAAAACUACACUGGCUAAAAAGAUGUAUUGUUAGACAUAGUAAAAAAUUUAUAGAGGUGGGAAUGUUAUCUGAUUAUAUAUUUAACAAAGGGAUAAAAGGCUGUGUUAUUAGAACAAUCUCUGGUUAUUUGUUCUUAGUAACAUUUGAUAACUAUGGUUAUUCUGAAUGCAUGAAAAGGAAUAAUUGGGCCGGUUUAAGCAAAUGGUUUGAAAAAAUUGAGGUAUGGUUUAAAAAAUUUUCUAUCAAUAGCAAAAGUACUUGGAUUGCCUAUUAUGGUGUCUUAAUCCAUGCAUAGAAUAGGAGUAGUUUCCCAAAUAUUGUUGGCUGUUAAGAGGAGUUUAUGCACAUGGAUGAAAAGACACUAAAGUUUCAUUCUUUUGAUAAAGGUCUCAUGCAGAUUAUUAUAGACUCAUCAUCCAAAAUUGAAGGUAUAAUCCAAUUAAAGGUGGGUGAUAAGUUAUAUAAUGUUAGAGUCUUAGAAGUUGAAUUCAAUAUUAAAAAAUGGAUGAGUCACAAAUAUGCCAAAAUUAUGGAUCAUAAUAAUGGCUAAAGUAAAAAAGAACUUCAUGAAAAAGGUAACUUAGAAGAAGUUGAAGAGGUGUUGUCUAGUAUAAAAACGAAAAAAUGUGAAAAAAGGGUAAAGAGUGUGGGUAAUAAUGAUCACCUAUCUAGAGCUCAAGGAAAUGGUGUGAAAACAAAAUGUCUCUUGAUAAUGGUAAAACUCAAAAUAGGGACUCCAAAAGGACCAAUAAAAAAGAAUGUGAAUUCUUAGGCACAAGUAGGGGGAUAUUAAAUGAGAACAUAAUAGGUAAUGUAGAGAAUGUUAAGAUGGUGAAUAGUGAAAAUAAAAAGGCUACCAAUAUUGGACCUAUAAUUAUGGAUAACAAAGACUUUUUUUUUUUAUGAAAAAAAUAGCAAGAAGUUUGAGAACUUGGGCCUUGACAAAGAUAGCUUGGUUCAACUCAAUAUAGUGAUAGAGCCUCUGUCAUCCUUUGUAGCUAAAACAGAAGAUUUAGAAACAAAAAGAAGAGACAUAAAGUAUAAAGUUAAGGCAAAAAAAUUAUGUUUAUAUGAAGAGAUAGAGAAGAGAUUGAUGGGCAAAAUUAAUAAGAAAAAGAGAGAGAUUUCGAAAAAGAGUAAAAGAAAGGGCACCAAAAGUAAAAGGCCAAAAGGAAAUGAUUUGAUAACAAAUGAAUCUAUAUCAAAUGGUGAUUUUCAAAAUUAGAAUAAAAGUCAUAUGUAAAGAUGGUGAAGAAGAACAGCUUAGAAAUAAGGCAGAAGCAAUAUCUAAAGUGGGUAAACAACUUGGUAUCACUUUUACAAUAAAUGAGGAAAACAUGAUAAAAAAAAUUCAAUUAUUAGAGGCCGAGAUAUAAAAGAAGGCCGAAACUAUGGGGUUAACUUUCUCUACCUUUUUUUUAAAUUUUUUAGGUGUACUCUGUGGUGGAUUUUCUAUGAAUGUUGUGGGCAAUUUAUUUAUAGAAUUUUGAAGGUAAUGGUUUUGCAUAAUAGGUGAUGGUGUAAGUUGAUUAAUUUUGACAUCAAUUGUGGUUGAUAAAAAUGAGAAUUGUCUUAUGGAAUGUGUUAGUAAUGGUAUUACAAUUCAAAUGGUAAAAAGGCUAAUACUUUCUUAGUCAAGUAAUUUGAAAAACUUUUAGAGUACUAUCACUUAAUCAACUGGGAUGGUUCACCUCUAUUUAGAAAUGUAAUGUACCGUCAAAAGUCUAAAAUUUUAUGUUUUUUAUUUAAUGCCUUUAAAGAAAGACAAAGUUUAUGUAAUUAGUGAAAACAAGAAUAAGAGGAUUGGUUACUUGUUACUUCUCUUGGGUUGUUUAAAACCAUGUUUUAACUUGGUAGGUGUUUGUUUCGAGCUCCAACCUAAGGGUAUUCCUAGAAAAAUAAAAAGAGAAAGAGAAUAGUUGGUGUAAAGGUAGAGGGUGUUCCCUACGUUUGCAUUCUGACGUGUAAGUUAAAGAUCAGAAUAAAAAAGAUCGAAACGAGAAAAGAAUAAGGAAUUAGAACAAGAUGGAACAUGAAAUGAUAAUACCUAGAUGUUUAUAUUUAUAAGUAAGAGGUAGGGGACUAAUGAGGGACAACAAUGACAUGAUUGAGCUGAUAUAAUACUAAAAAAGCAUGCCAAGUCGACUCAAAUAUUUGAAAUGCCACUGGUUGUUUAUUGAUAGCCUUUGAUAGGGAAAAGAUUGUAAUGCCAUUUUGAUCACUAAAUGCCCCUAACAUUUUGUCCUUUUCAUUGAGUAAUCUAAGUAUCAAACUGUUAGGUGUAUGAUAAAUUGAUUUAACAUAUAUUGGUCAGCUUAAAAGGGGUUGCCAAGGAUCUGACCUUCUUUAGGUCGAUGUCAUAAAUUUGUGAGAUCAAUGUGAAAGCAAGAAUCAAGGGGCUUUAUUUGUUAUUCUGUUCAAUUUGGGCUGUCCUAGUAUGAGUUGUCAUGGUGUAGGUCUACUCUUGCAUGUGUUCUUUAGAUUAAGUAUAUGGCUUGUUUAGAGGUUACCAGAAUGACUCUAUCUUGAAAGGCUCGAGAUGAAGAUGUGGGGGUUUGGGAAAGUUGACGGAGUUCGGUUGGCCAAUGUUAGACUUGAACAUUUUCAAGAACUCGAAUCCUUGUUUACACUCUAAAGGUGACUUAGCAAUCAGUUCACCAAACUGGUUUAACCUGAAGUCUUAUUCAGUCUAGCUGGUCUAACUAGUUUAGGUGGUUGAGAUCCCAUUUAAUGAGAGAGGUUGUUUGGACAAUAAAAUUCAAAGUAGGGAAGGUGAAAAAAUGCUCUCCAAUGGCAUCCUGACACGUGAUGCAAUCUAGGCUAUUCAUCUAAUUUAGGGUGCGGCUAUAUAAAGGGUUGUUGGGACAUUCAUUUUUCACUUUUCUAUUUUUUUACUCUUAAUUCGACCUAAACUUUCUUACUUUAAAAGCUUUCUAGCCUCUUUCGACCUUAUAGUUUUUUUUCUUUCAAUAGUUAUUUCUACUUACUGUGGUACAUAUUUUUUUCAUCAUGUAUUCUAGUGUUAGUUCUAAAGAUGCGUGGAGCUUUAUGGUAGAGCCAAGGGGAGGCCAACUUAGGCAUGAUGAUGACGAUAUAGUCUCACCAAUCAUCAAAGGUUAAGACUACAGGAAAACAACCUAUUGGCUUAAGCUGAUGUCUAACGAAAAGCAAAGAAAGAUUUGACAAGAAUGCUCGAACUUGAAGAAAAUGGGUCUUGAAUGAGGAUGAGUUGUGCACUAAGAUAGAUUUUAAUUUGGAAAAUCCAUUUUUUUCCCUUUCUCAAGUCAAUCCAUCUUCUACGAUCAACUUUUCUUUCCUUUUGAUUGUUCCCCCUUUUAAAGUUCAAUCUCAUCAACCUUCUUCCUUCUAUACUCCUUAUCCUAUAAAUGUUUAUGUUAUUUCUUCUCUUCUUCCUUAGUCAACUCAUAUUCACAUUCUUUCUUCUUUCAAUGAGUUUCUUCAUCCUUUUUAUCCAUCAAAGUUGUGGUGCUCUCCACCACUACUCCAACUAGGAAUUUUGUUCUUACUCAAGAGUCUAAGUUUUUUAAUGGUAAAAGCUUCGAUGAUGAGAAAGGUUCUAAAGAAUAAUAGACAAAGGAGAAUACCUCUACUGAGGAAGGCAAUGGUGAAGAGAAAACUUUCUCAAAACCAGAUAAGCUGGUUAAGGUUCUUGUAUAUACCUUAUUCUCCUUAGAUAUGAUCCUUAAAGAUGUGAAGAGAAACUUAAAGGGCAAAGCCAAUCCUAAAGACUGCCUAAAUAUGUAUUCAACUCAUCACAUCUAUUCUCUGAGAGUGAACUUUUGCUUUUUAAAUGAGAGAUAUAGUAUAUUAAUGUUGAACUCCUCAGAUUGAGUAACCGAUAAGCUAGAGCCUCAUCGGCUCUGGGUAUAUUAGGAUUCAAUGGUAACGAUCCAAGGUUCCCUCUUUUAUUCUUUAUUUGUUUUAAUUUUUAAUUCUUAUAAUUUAAUAAUCACCCAGCUCACCCCAAACUCAAUUUGGUACAUAGUAUAAUUUAUAAUUUUUUGUUAUUAGUUAAGUGUUCUUUUCAAUCUCCCUCUAUUUAAGGAGUUUUUUUCUAUAAAAAAAUACCUUAAUGAUAAAAUGUGGUUUUACAUCAUAGUUUAGCCCAAUAAAAAAUUAUUCAUGGACUGCUUGAGCUUAAUAAAAAAUUAAAAAUUACUCUUCCUCUACCUCUAAAAGGAAAAGGAAAAUAAGGACAGUGAGUUCGAAGUCAAGGCCUAGGAGAUAAUAAAUAAACUUUACAAUUUUGUUGAUGUGUCUAUUGCUUUUUUUGUUUUAAACCUCAUAGAUCAGGACAAAAUAAUGGAAUACACUCGCAAAGAGGAACUAGUCAUAAAUGCCUAUGAGUUGACCUCUUCCAAAGUGAUAAACAAGUCCAAGUACUAAGGUAAGUGUAAGAUAACCUUAUAAUGUCUUUAACUUAUUUGAUUUUUUUUAACUCUUAGCUUGAUUUUACAAAAAUGUCUUCCAACCUAGUAAAGGACUUCAACUUCUCCCUCUUUUCACACAAACCAAAAUUCAAAAAGGGUCAAAAUAAAAAGAUUCAGCUUAAUGCCUCCCUUGAUAGAGAAAAAUAAAGUGGUAAAUCUAACACUGAAUAAGUAAGUAAGCUCUUUAACUCAGCCUCCGUCAUUGCUAAAUGCAAGCAUAAAACUAUGACACAUCAGGAGAUCUCCUCAGUAGCUCUUACUUAUGUAAAGAAAUCAAGGAUCGAAGCCUUUCUUUCACCUUAGAGAAUCUUAAGUCUAAGGUUCUUAGGCCUAACUCAAAAAAAGUCUACACCAGCCUGGAAUACAUUCUUUAUGAUAACCUAUUGAAUAGUGCCAAUGUAGCAAAAAAGUUUUGUAAAGUUACAAUCCCUUCUAGCAAUGAAUGCCCUUCAGCUUAGUUCUUCCAUUGUUAUUAACUUUAUUAUUUUUCUAAGUUUGAGUUUAGCCUUUACAAUUUACCAAAAAUUGCCACCUCAGCCAAUUGAUUGCACCAUGCCUACAUGGUAAUGGCUCACAUGUUCAAGGCCAAGAAAGACCUGACUGUCUAAGGUGAAAACAUUAAAAAAAUAUAGAAGCCCUAAACAAUCUUAGGUCCAGCUUUAGCAUCUUCCAUAAAAAAGAAGUUAAGUAAAAAAAAGUAGAUGAGUAGAUAGCCAAGUUGGAAAGCAUGCACAUAAAAAAAGCUUUAGUAAAAUUCAUGAAAAAACAAGUUGAGCUAAAGUUUAGUGAAGGUCAAGCUGAAAUUCUAAGUUGAGGUCCUAACUGGAAGUUGAGAUGAAAAAAAAAAGAAAAAAUCAAGCAAAAGGCUAAAGAAGUCUGCAAGGAUUAGGUCAUCUAAGAGUUUAAAGCCCUUAAAAAAUUCACUCAGCUACAGGCAAAGUUUUCAAGAAAAAACAUAUUUAGGGCCUUUGAGAUCGCAAAAAAAAAGGUGUCAUACAAGUACAUUAUCCUCAACCUCGACCUCUUUGACAUUAACUUAAAUAACAUCAAGUUGAGGUUUCUUCCACAGCACUUCAAGAAAGAGAAAAUGACAAAGACAGAUGUAUGGAUGCCAAGCUCGAGGAUACCCUAGCAUCCGAGGUCAAUGAGGGGCCUGCUACCAUUGCUGCUAAUGUUGACAAAGAAGAAAAGCUUUAAAGGUUUUUUUUCUUUUAUUUUUUAUCCUUUUGUUAAUUUUUUGUAAAUUUUUGUUAAGUGUGAGGUUGGAUUUUUGUUGUGACCUUAGGUGAAAUCACUUUAUCAAACUUUUAUCAAUUAUAAUUUUUUGUAUAGACCUACUGACUACUAAUGGAAAAUAGAGUUUUUGUUCAAGUUUUAAUUUGAUUUUGCUUCCCUUUUACCUCUUUAAUAUUUAAGUAAAUGAGUUCAAGUUUAAGCUCAAACAAUAAUUCACUAAAUGACUUCAAUAAACUUAUCUCAGAUGACUCAAAAUAACUCAACAAAAUGUUAGCUUGAUUCAAAAUAAUUCAAAGCCUCAACUCAAUUCAAGUGAGGUUAAAAUUCAACUAAAUGUUCAAGAAUGAUUUAAAUUCACUUAAGAAUCCAUCUUAAUACAAGUCUCAGGUCGGACGACAUUAGGUUGGUUGGAGCCUGAGCUCAAGAGUUAGAACAAAUGUAAUCAUAUUUAACUUAAAGUCUUGAGUCAAACUUAGUUAGGGUUAUAUUAGGUUGAAUGUGAUCAUAUAGUGAACAUGAUCAACGUAACUUCAUUCAAGGAUUUUGGGGUAACAAGUGCAAGCUCAGUUAAGUUUGAGCUAUUUUUAAAUUAUCUGCAUUCCAUGUCCUCAAAACAGGACUACCAUUCAUGUCUUGUAAUUUAUAAGUCACAUCAUGGAUGACAUCUUUAACCAUGUAGGGCCCUUUUCAGGUCGGUGCUAACUUGCCACCUUAGUCUUCAACUCUUAAAACUUCAAUCUUCUUAAAUAAUCAGUCUUUCUUCUUAAUGUUCCUAGGUCAAACUCUCUUGUUAUAGUGGUUGGACACCAUCUGUUAGUAAGUUGCUAUUUGGUUAAAGCCAUGUCAUUUUGUUCUUAAACCAAAUCUAGGUCGACUUUUAAGGCUUAUUCAUUUUCUUUUUCUUAACUAAGUUUGACUUUCAAGCUCGAGAAAUUGAUCUUAAUAAGUACCACGACUUCUGUUCUAAAUGCUAAGUGGAUAAAAGUCUUCUUGUAGGGACUUUUGUGGUUGUCCUCAGGGCCCAUAAUACUCCAAAGAGCUCAUCAGCCCAUUUGCCAUUGGCCUUAUCCAAUUUCUUCUUAGGGCCUCUAAUAUCAUCUUAUUAGCCACCUUGACUUGGCCAUUAGAUUGAGUGUAUGCGACUGAUGUGAACCUCAAUUCUAUGUGGAGGUUAGAACACCAUUUUUGGAACAUCAAAUUUUCAAAUUGUUUGCCAUUGUUCAUUAUUAUGGACUAAGGUAGGCCUAACAUACAAACUAUGUUAUUCUAUACAAAUUUCUCGACUUGAGCUUCCAUUAUGGUAGCUAAGGCUUCAAUUUCAAGCCAUUUUGUGAAAUAAUUUAAUGCUACAAAAAAAAACUCCUCUGCCUUCUGGUUGGGGUAAAUGUUCUAAGGACGUCCAUCCUCUACUACAUGAAAGGCAAAGGGCUGAUGAUAGUAGUGAGUUCGGUUAAUGAAAGAUGUUGUACAUAGGUGAAUAUCUAGCAUUUGUCACAUUUAUUCACUACGUAAGUCAUAUCCUUUUUUAUGGUGGGCUAAUAGUACCCCCUACAUAAAUACCUUAUAAGCCACUGAUCAAGGUUUUAAGUGAUUUCCACAUAUCUUUCCAUGAAUUUCCCUUAUGACAUAGUUUGUUUCCUCAUCAUCCAUGAAUUUUAGAUAUUUUAUAUAGCUUUUCAUUGAUCAUGGUAUACUAAAAAAUUUUCUUUAUCAAAGCUUUAGCUCAAACUUUGUCUUUAGGCAACUCUUUCAUGGUUAGAUAUGCCUAGAUCGAGGUCAUCCAAGUUUUAUUUUUCCUUAAUUUGUCUUACUAGUUUCUAUUCAAUGCUUUUUAAUGCAAAUUCUUUCACUAGUACUUAACUUGAAUUUUUCAUUAUCAUCUUUACAGCUAGCUUAGACAAAGAGUUUGCAAGUGAAAUUUUUGACCUUAAUAUCUUUCUGACCUCUAUUUUAUGGAAAACAAUGACAAAGGCCAGUGUUUUGUCUAAGUAUUUUUGAAUUCCUUAUUCCUUAGCUCUUAACUUAUUAUUUAUUUGACCGAUCACUAAUUGAAUUCCUUUUCUCGAAUCUACAUCCUCGAAUCUACAUCGAACUAAUGGCCUAGUUGGUGAUGGCCAAAUAAAAAUACAAUACCUCGUUGGGCCUUAGCUUGGAAAGGAUGGAUGGAGAGGAUAAGAACUCUUUAAAUUCAUCAAAAGCUUUUGGACAUUAGAAGGUCCAUCUGAAAUCGAAAAUAUUUUUGAAUAUCUUGAAAAAUGGCAAGUAUCACUCUGCCAACCUAGACAUAAACCUGCUUAGAGUGACUAUUCUUCUAGUUAGCCUUUAUGCUUCCUUUACUGAGGUCUAUGCUUUCGUGUUUAAGAUGGCUUGAACUUUUUUUGGGUUCUCUUUUAUCCUCUUUUUAUUGAUCAUAUACUUGAAAAACUUGUCCAAUGUAACUCCAAAGGCACACUUGCUUGGAUUAAGCCUCAUGUUAUACUUUUUUAGUGAAUUUAAGGUCUUCUCUAGGUCUUUUAAGUACUCGAUUAGGCUUUUACUAUUUACUAUGAUGUCAUCCACAUAUACUUUCAUGUUCUAUCUAAUUUGCUUAUUGAAAACCUUAUUGACCAAUCUUUGAUAGGUCACUCAUGCAUUCUUUAUACCAAAUGGCAUGAUCUUGUAACAAUAAAGGCUUUUCUCGAUAAUGAAGGUAAUUUUUUCCUAUUCUUCUUUCAACAUAUUAAUUUAAUUACAGUAAAAGUAAAGAUCCAUGAAACUAAAAAAGCCAUGCUCAAUAUUAUCAUUCACUAGCUGGUCUAUGCUAAGAGUGAAAAACUAUCAUUAGAGCAAGCUUUAUUAAAGUCGGUAAAGUCAAUGCUCAUCUUUUAUUUUUUACUGUGCUUCUUGACCAUGAUCGUAUUACCUAUCUAUUUAGGGUAAUAAACUUCAUUGAUGAAACUUGCUUGUAAUAGCUUACUGAUGUUCUCUUUAAUAACAUUUUAACUUUUUGAAGCAAAAGUUUUUUUCUUUUGUUGAACUGAUUUCAUGUUUGAAUUGGAAUGCAAGUUAUGGACCAUUACCUCGAUAUCAAUUUGGGGCAUGUCAAAUGGUGUCCAAGCAAACAAGUGAGCAUUAUUUCUCAAAAGUUGAAUUAAUUGCUCUUUACGUUCAAGUUUAAUUCCAAUUUGCAUUUUAGAGGUGUUUUCCCAUAAUGGUAUGGACAUAAAGUCUUCUACUGGUUUAGGUCGGUUCUUAUCUACCUCAAGUCUUUGUUCAAUUAUUUCUUUUUACUCAAUUAGGUCAAAACCGUUUCUUGCAGAGACAGAUCCCAAUAUGGCAAUUAGUAUGUUAUUAGUAAGUAAAAUGAUGAGUAAUGAGAAUAUAGAGCUGAACAAUAUGUAUGUAUUUUUAUUUUAAUUUUUUUUAUCGAUGUCUUAGCUCGGUCCUAUUAACAUGUGAAUGUUCCUACUAACUUAAAAGCUCAAUCACUUUUAAAAUCUAUUUUAAAAUUACAAAAAUGAUUGAAACUAUAGUUUCUAUUGGUGUGGAACUUAAAAGCUUAAAGGGUCUUAAAAGUGCACUUUUUUCAGGUUAGUUUUUUAUUGUUAUGUUUGCUUACUUUUGCUUUCUUAUUUUUUUUCAAUUUUUAUUACUUCUUUCUCUUUUUUAACUUUUUUGCCUUAAUCAAAUUGUCAUUCUGCUUCCCAGUCCUUCUCUUCAUUGUUGUAACGUAACAUUGUUGUGCUAUAAAUUGGUCUUUCCUCUUCUUCUAACCUCGUGUGAUGUUAGAAAUUUUACUUUCAAAUGGAGAGCUAAGCUUAUAAGUCACAUAACAAAUAAAUUAGGUUGGUCUAAUAUCAUAUUAUAGGCAGAUGAGACAUUUAUGACCAUGAAUUUUAUGAUCAAUGUAAUUGUCUUUGGUUUUAUCCGCAAAGAGAUCAAUAAUUUAAUAAUUCCUUUAACUAGUACCUAUUCAUUUUUAAAUUCGAUUAGAGUCGUGGUGAUCAAUUAUAGCUAAUCUUCGUUGAUUUUCAUCUUUUUCAUAAUCGCAUGAUACAUGACAUCAAUUGAGCUUUCAUUAUCAAAUAAGAUCCUCUCGACCACAUAGUUGUACACCACAAUUGUGAUCACUAGAGCAUCAUCAUAGGGGUAUUGGAUUCUUUCCAAAUCUUUCAAACUAAAUGAGAUCGGUUCAUCUUUUCAAUCUUUUUAUUUCUUUAUUAAAGAACUAAUAACCAUAAGCAUGCCUUAGUUAAACUUCUUUUCGAUCAAAGUAGAGCUUCCCCUAGUGAUCAUGUUGAUUACCCCAAUAAUUAGUUUAUUAUUAGUAACUCAACCUUCCUCCUAUCUUUGUUUUUCCUUUCAAACUUUUCUUUUUCUAUUUUCCUCUAUCCUACCUCUCCUAUCCCUUAUGAGUUCUCUUCGAUCUCUUUUGUAGUCUAGCCUAUUUUUUCUUUGUCUUCAUCGAUACAUAAACUUCCCUAGUUGACCUUUUUGAUCAGAGCUUUAAUUUUAUUUUUUAAGUUAAUGCAAUCCUCAGUGUUGUGGCUUAUCUUUCUAUGGACAUUUCAUUUUUUGGUCAGAUCCUUCCUUGUGUUUUGUUUUAGUGGCUUCAGCCAUUUGAGCUUUAGAUUCCUUUUAAUUUACAUUAGAAUCCUCUCUCAGAAGAUUUUCAAUGCAAUGUAGUUUCUUUCUCUAAUGGCACUUUUGACCCUAUGUCAUAUCCCUUUUAUGGGAGGGUCAUAAAAAUCUUUACCUUUUUUUUACAAUUGAAGAGUGAGAAUAAGUCUUUCUCACCUUAGUCACCAAAAGAGAGGGAUGAGCCUCUCUCAACUCGAUUGUUUCUCAUUGUAUUUUCAGUAUUUAUGUAUUUUUUGACCACAAGUAGGACAUCGACUAGCAUAUUGGGUGGCUCUAAAGAUAAGGUUACCUUAAGUUAGUAUUUUUUAUCAUUAAGUUCACUUGUUAGAGCAGCUACAAUGAUCUUUUGCUCAAGGUCUUUUACCUAUGAAGUUUUCGGUCUUAAAAUGCAUAAUACAAUCUUUUAGAGAUUCAUUUCUGCCUUAAUGAAUUGACAUCAUGCUCAAAAUCAUUUGUUUAUUCUCCGACUGUAUAUAAAAUAAAACAAGAAAGAGUGGCUAAACUCUUUAAUUAUCGUGAUUAACCUCAACUUUAAGCUACUAUACCAAGAUCGAGUUUUGCCUUUGAGGGCGGUAGCUAGACUCUUACAAAUCAAAGCUUCAUAUACAUCCUGCAUCAUCACAUUAGUUUUAUAAAGCUUAAAAUGAUCAAAAGGGUUAGAUGUACAAUCACAAGUUUCUAAGGUCGGCAUGUUAAAUCCUUUUAGAGGCAUAUCUCUAUCAAUCUCUUCAGUGAAAGAUGAGAUCUCUAGGAACUUGAGCUCGUCCUCAAAGGCUACUACCAUCCCCUUUAGCUCUUUUCUAUAGCUUACAACUAAGCUUUCAGGUCUCUAUUCAGUUAGGGUUCUAGGUCAAUUUGUUUUGAUUUUUGGGUUAUUACUUAUGCUGAUUUAUGGCUAGGGUAAUGGUAGACUAUUAGAACAUCAUGUUCUUCUUCUUUGAGGUCGAAUAAGCUUUUAGCUCUUCGUAGCUUGAUUGCUUUUUUACAACUUGUAGGCUAAAAGUGACUAGGUCGAGCACUUUUGAAGCUUGGGAUAGGGUUAUAGUUUGUAGCAUUUGCUCAAAGGCUUGUAUUUGCUCGGUUAGAGCCUAGAAUUAUUUUAUGGUCCAACCAAUUUAUUGUGAAGUAGGUCUAUUUGUAUGCUAGUUCUUGUGUAUUUUUGUUUCGAUUGACAUGGUUGUUUAUCUUUUUUCCAUAGCUUUCUUCUAAAAAGGCAUGAUUUUAGGCUCAACUAAUUAAUAGAAAAACCUUACCUAGUGCGCCAAAUAUUUAUACCGAGCUUCAACCUAAGGGUAUUCCUAGAAAGACAAAAAGAGAAAAAAAACAGAUGGGUGCAAAGGUAAGGAAUAUUCUCGACAUUUAUACUCCAACGCACAAGUCAAAGAUUAGAAUAAUGGAGAUCAAAAUAAGAGAAGAAUAGGGAAUUAAAACAAAAUGGAACUUGGAAUGAUAAUACCUAGAUAUUCAUAUUUAUAGGUAAGAGGCAAGGGACUAAUAGGAGACAACAAUGACGUGAUUAAGCUAAUAUGGCAGUAAACAUGUCAAGUUGACUUGACAUAUCAUAUCAACUUAAAUGUCUAAAAUGCCUUUGAUUGUCUAUUGACAGUUUUUGAUAAAAGAAAGAAUCGUAAUGCCCUUUUAACCACUAAAUGCCCUAACAAUAGGGUUUGACAUGGAUAACACCUAAUCAUGUUGAGGCUUUGCUAAGGCAAUGUAAGAUGGCUCCAUUUAGUAGACUCAUGAAAAAGGGAUGGCUAUUGGUGUGUAGAGCCAUCCUACGAGUUUUAUGGCUAAAAAAGAAUUAGUCAUUUUUUAAAGUAAGGACAAGGAUGAUGAGGAAUUUUUUCUAUUAAAUUGAGAGCAUUAUUUUAGAUGAGUGUACUAGAAAAAAGUGUCUUGAUUAGCGAAACACAAACCUAGCCUUGUUGGGUGUGGAGUUAUGUUUAGAAAUGCUUAAGUGGAUAGUCAUGGAUUAUUUUAUAGACCCUUAAGUGAAAAAAAAUCAAAUAUUGUUAAGAUAUUAGCAAUACAAAUAGCUGUUAAGGUGUUCUCAGCAUCCUCUUAAGUGAAAAAGAAUGCUUUAAUUAUUGAGUCUAAUUCUAUGGUGGCUUUUAGUUGGAUUUGUAAUUGUGAAUCUCAGCAUUAAAAUUAUGAAAAAUUUUGAGGUAUGAAAAUUUUUGAAGAGAUAGAUAAGCUCCAAGAAGAUAGUGGAAUGGUGAAUUUUUGUUCAUACUUAUAAGGGAAUAAUUUUUGACAAAAAUAGAUUAGAGAUUUCUAAUUCCUUUUCAUGCUUGGAUGUAGUGAAAACAUAUGAUAAUGAUUUUGUACUGUAAGCUAGGGUUCUUUGGUGUGAUUUUGUUAGACUUUGUUUCUACAAAAAUGUGUUGGAUAGUUAAACUUUCUUCUAUAUAUCAAUAUAACUUAUUUUGGCUGAGAAAGAAAAAUAUUCAUUUUUAAAAACCAUUUAACCAAAUAUUUUCAAUAAAAAAAAAGUGUUAAAAACUUUAAGUAGUUUUUAUUAGACCUAUUCAUGGGCCAAGCAGUGUACCUGAAACCGAAAGCCUAUCUAAAAUUUUGAAGGAUUUAGAUACGCAUAUUAAAUCUGUUAAAUAGGCCUGGAUAAAUAAAUAAGAUCUGAUAAAAAAAAAGGCCAAGCUUAGGUUUCACUAUUUAAGGUCUAGGCUCAACCCGGCCCGAAAAGUAAAGAAUAUAUUUUAUAUAAUAAUGAGACAAAACCCAUUUACUUUAUUCUUUAUAAUGGAUAAGGCCUAUUUGCUUUAUUACUUAUAAUAUGAUAAAAUACAUUUUUUUCUUUAUACAAAACAAUGAUUCAAUUUUAAAUUACAUUCAAUAAAAUUAAAUUAGACUUAAGCCCAAAUGACUCAUAAAUUUAAUUAAAAUUAAUUAAAUCAAUUAAAUUAAUAAUUUUAAAAAAUUUUAAAACUAUUUUUUUUAAUUUUAAAUACUAGUACUUUGGGCGAGUUUGGACCUUAUUAUUACAUAUAAGCAUGGAUUUGGGCAAAAAAUGAAGCCCAAAAAAUGGGGCUAGAUCAAACUUGAACUUGCUUAAAAUGCUAAAAUAUAAUACCUAAUCUAAUCUAAACUCGACUCGGCCCAUAAAUAGAUCUAGUUUUUAUCUACUUAAAUAUAUUCAACCAAUCUCAAUAUUUAAAGAAAAAUAAGUUAUUUAAUUACAGUACUAUUCUUAUAUUCUUUAUUUUUAAUCAUUUAUUUUGUCGUCGAUGCAAAAUAUUUAUAAAAUCAAAUUUCUUCUACAAAAGAAUUAAUAAAAAAAUCUACCUUUUAAUAGUCACUAGCAUACCAAGCAAUCCUUAUAUCAUUAAUUCAUUACUUAAAAUUUUCAAAACUAAAAAUUUAAUUCUUAAUUUUUCAAUAUUGAAAACUUUCAAUUCAUUAAACAGUUUUAGUGUCCACUUGAUUUGUGACUUUAGCUCAAUAAUUGGUUUUAAAUAUAACUAGCCAUAUGCACACCCACUAUAUGAGUGGAAUAAAUAAAAAUUUUUAUUAUUUAGAUAAAUAUUACAAGAAUAUAAAAAACAAAAACCUUUAUAGUUUUCUUAAAAUUAUAAAAAAAAAGAAAGAAAAAAUGGAAAACCUUUAUAGCUACCUUAAAAAUAUAAAAAAACAAAAUAGUAACUAAUAAUACAACUUUUUGAAGUAGAGCAAAAGAAAGUAGAAGGGUUUUAAAAUGCAGAUCUAUGCUUUACUUUCAAUAAAUAUAUUUUUUAUUUUACAGUUUUUUUGGUCAAUCUCUAAUUAAACUGAAUUAGUAUCAUUUGACUCAAUUAGAGACUUUAUAAAUAGAUUAUAUAAAUAGUACUUACAAUUUAAUUAAGCAAAGCUUGUUAUAUCUUUCCUCUUAACUUCUCCAUUAUUGAUUAAAAUCAUAUGUUAUAGUAAUCGUUCACUAGUCGUGGUCCCGCAUAAGUUUUAUUUUGUGAAAUAAACAAUUUUAAAGGCUUUACUUCCUUUUAUAAGAAAACCGGUCUAUAAAUUGGAAACUUAGUGGGAAAAAAACAUAUAUGGAGAGAGCUAUAUAAUAUACUAUAUACCUGACAAGCUAUUAGAGGAAAAAUCAAGGAGCCGAAGAAAUGUCAAGUUCCAAAUACUUGAGGGGAUCGGCCCUUCUAAGUUGUUUUCUGACAAGCCAAGACCCUCUAAAUUUAGAAGAGAACCAAUUUGUCCAGGGAUUCUACCUGAAAAACUUAUUAAAUAACCAAUUGACUUAAUAAACUUAAUAGCUAGUUUUCCAUUAAAAAAAAUCUUAAUAGUCAAUGAUACAAGCCUAACUAAUAAUAUUUGAAAUUUCAACUUGAAAAUCUCGAAUUCGAACUUUGUGACAGGGAAGUAUGUACCUGACAAGCCGUUAUUUGAAAAAUUAAGGUGCUUAAGAAGUGUCAAGUUCCCAAUACUUGAAGGAAUAGGCCCUUCUAUAUUGUUGUUUUCCAAGCUAAGCCUCUGUAAAUUUAGAAGAUUACCAAUCUGCCAUGGGAUUUCACCUGCAAAUGUAGGAGAUCACAACAUUUGCUAUUGUGUAAUUCAAUCAUCAAAUAAAUACUUUUACUUUCUUUUUCAUUUUUUUCCCUUCCUACCAAAAGGAAAAUAAAGUUCAGAAAGAAAAAACAUGGAUGAAGUAUAUAUGGUUUGUGUUCAUAUUUACCUUUGAGAUUGUUUACACCGAGUCGCAAUAUCGUAAGCUUAAUCAAAUUCCCAAUUUCCUUUGGCAAACUUCCCUCAAAAUGAUUACGAGAUAAGGACAAUACCAUUAACUCUUUGCACUUGAAUAAACUAGGUGGAAUUCCGCCCGAAAACAGGUUCCGACUCAAAUAAAGCUCUUGCAGAUUUGGAAGUUUAUCGAACAUAUCCCAUGAGAGAUUACCACUGAGAACAUUAACGCUUAAGUCAAUGAUUUGCAGUGAAGAAAUUUUGAGUGGAAUGGGGGGAAUCGACCCAGAGAGAUUGUUAUUGCUGAGACCCAAUAAUUGCAGUGAAGAGAUGCUGAAGAUUGAAGGAGGUAUUGAACCUGAAAGCUGGUUGUUAUCCAAAAUCAGCAUCCUCAAGGUGGAAAGAUUUCCAAUCCUCACAGGAAUCGGCCCUUGCAGUUUAUUUUUUUCCAACCACAAGAUCUCUAACCUUGGAAAAUGGCACAAAGAUGAUGGGACUACGCCCGUGCAGUUGUUUUCAUAUAGAAAUAAGCUUUGAAGUUGAGUGAAGGAAUCAAACCAUGAAGGGAUUUCCACACUGAGGUUGUUGUUGCCAAAGUUUAUGUACUUCAACCGACGCAAAUUAGCCAAUUGGAUGGGUAAUGAGCCAUGAAAACUAUUGUUCUCAAUGCUGA